CCUUGGCUUUUGCCAUUGACAUAAUCUUUUAAAGAAUCUAUGUAGAUGGGUUUUGACAUUCUUUUGACCAUGGGAAGAUUCAUAAGUGUUCAUUAGACUUCAAUGUUCAAUCUUCUAUAGAAAAAGUGAAAUUAAGGAUUUUAGCUUUAAGGAAAGCCUUUCAAAGAUACCGUCAGUGAGCACUAGAGAUGGCAAUUUUGGUCAUCUACCAGAUACCCAAUCUGGCCCAAUCCGAAUAGGGGUUUUUAUCCGAUCUAGUUAAAAUCAGAGACAAAUAUGGUUCUAAAAAAAAAAUUUGAAAUAGCUUC
This 308-nucleotide long non-coding RNA is filed under the name Elaeis guineensis (African oil palm). RNAcentral describes it as "long non-coding RNA (EGUI_LNC023393)". The record is from RNAcentral. Lineage: Eukaryota; Viridiplantae; Streptophyta; Magnoliopsida; Arecales; Arecaceae.